Molecule: ribosomal RNA, 273 nt
Filed under: uncultured bacterium
Lineage: Bacteria
Description: partial 16S ribosomal RNA
Rfam family: Bacterial small subunit ribosomal RNA
Source: RNAcentral
UUCUCCUACGGGGGGCAGCAGCCGCGGUAAUACGUAGGGGGCAAGCGUUAUCCGGAUUUACUGGGUGUAAAGGGAGCGUAGACGGCUUGGCAAGCCAGAUGUGAAAGGCUGGGGCUCAACCCCAGGACUGCAUUUGGAACUGUCAUGCUAGAGUGUCGGAGAGGCAGGCGGAAUUCCUAGUGUAGCGGUGAAAUGCGUAGAUAUUAGGAGGAACACCAGUGGCGAAGGCGGCCUGCUGGACGAUGACUGACGUUGAGGCUCGAAAGCGGGGGG